RNAcentral lists this ribosomal RNA (253 nucleotides) under uncultured bacterium. Its description in RNAcentral is "partial 16S ribosomal RNA". It matches the Rfam family "Bacterial small subunit ribosomal RNA", at positions 524 to 776 of the family's 1533-position model. The record is from RNAcentral.
UACGUAGGGUGCGAGCGUUGUCCGGAAUUAUUGGGCGUAAAGAGCUUGUAGGCGGUUUGUCGCGUCUGCUGUGAAAUCUCAAGGCUCAACCUUGAGCUUGCAGUGGGUACGGGCAGACUAGAGUGUGGUAGGGGAGACUGGAAUUCCUGGUGUAGCGGUGAAAUGCGUAGAUAUCAGGAGGAACACCUGUGGCGAAAGCGGCUCACUGGACCAUAACUGACGCUGAUGCACGAAAGCCAGGGGAGCGAACGGG